AGGAAUUUGGUAUAAAACUAUCCAAUGUCAGCCUCCUCGUUUCCCUUGGUUUGGUAAUACUUGUUUAAGUAGAAAAUAUAUAUCUAUUAUUGAUGUAUUUCUGCAUAGGCAGUAAUAUCUCUCCACUUGUAUCUGUUGCAUUCCACGAUGUUAUUUAGAAUGUAAUUUAGGUUACGAUGGGGCUGGCGUGUCCGUGUCGGACAAAAGUCC
Long non-coding RNA from Maniola jurtina (meadow brown), 210 nucleotides. RefSeq lists it as uncharacterized. NCBI's taxonomy places the organism in Eukaryota, Metazoa, Arthropoda, Insecta, Lepidoptera, Nymphalidae. The record is from RefSeq and is a predicted model, not a curated record. The transcript has 2 exons.